Molecule: non-coding RNA, 71 nt
Organism: Podarcis lilfordi (Lilford's wall lizard)
Lineage: Eukaryota; Metazoa; Chordata; Lepidosauria; Squamata; Lacertidae
Source: the annotation of a GenBank genome assembly
GCCAUAGCUGAGUGGUAGAGUGUCUGCUUUGCAUGCAGGAGGUCUCAGGUUCAGUUCCUGGGGCUGGGACU